UGAACGCUGGCGGUAGGCCUAACACAUGCACGUCGAACGGCAGCACAGUAAGAGCUUGCUCUUACGGGUGGCGAGUGGCGGACGGGUGAGGAAUACAUCGGAAUCUACUUUUUCGUGGGGGAUAACGUAGGGAAACUUACGCUAAUACCGCAUACGACCUACGGGUGAAAGCAGGGGAUCUUCGGACCUUGCGCGAUUGAAUGAGCCGAUGUCGGAUUAGCUAGUUGGCGGGGUAAAGCCCACCAAGGCGACGAUCCGUAGCUGGUCUGAGAGGAUGAUCAGCCACACUGGAACUGAGACACGGUCCAGACUCCUACGGGAGGCAGCAGUGGGGAAUAUUGGACAAUGGGCGCAAGCCUGAUCCAGCCAUACCGCGUGGGUGAAGAAGGCCUUCGGGUUGUAAAGCCCUUUUGUUGGGAAAGAAAAGCAGCAGGUUAAUACCCCGCUGUUCUGACGGUACCCAAAGAAUAAGCACCGGCUAACUUCGUG
Molecule: ribosomal RNA, 489 nt
Filed under: uncultured bacterium
Lineage: Bacteria
Description: partial 16S ribosomal RNA
Rfam family: Bacterial small subunit ribosomal RNA
Source: RNAcentral